This 170-nucleotide ribosomal RNA is filed under the name Mycoplasmopsis synoviae. RNAcentral describes it as "Mycoplasma synoviae partial 16S ribosomal RNA". It matches the Rfam family "Bacterial small subunit ribosomal RNA", at positions 1245 to 1414 of the family's 1533-position model. The record is from RNAcentral. Lineage: Bacteria; Bacillati; Mycoplasmatota; Mycoplasmoidales; Metamycoplasmataceae.
UGAAGCAAAAUAGUGAUAUCAAGCAAAUCUCAAAAAAUCGUUCUCAGUUCGGAUUGUAGUCUGCAACUCGACUACAUGAAGUCGGAAUCGCUAGUAAUCGUAGAUCAGCUACGCUACGGUGAAUACGUUCUCGGGUCUUGUACACACCGCCCGUCACACCAUGGAGCUGU